GUGCACCGUCAAGUGACUGGACUUCCUUUUUGGUGGCCUUCCAGUCUCAUUCCGGUGCCAGAGCGACCUCAGUUUGCAGAAGGGUUGGGCUCAAUUAUUGGCUCCCCCCUUUCGAAGGCUGAGCACACAA
This is a small nucleolar RNA of Takifugu rubripes (torafugu), 130 nucleotides long. Lineage: Eukaryota; Metazoa; Chordata; Actinopteri; Tetraodontiformes; Tetraodontidae. The record is from Ensembl.